ACCUCCUGAAGCUCAUUUCUCUUAUUUAAGCGACAACCCAGAAAGCAUACAUUUGAACGAGAGAGACGUUUCCCCUCUACGCGUAAACUGAUUACUUUUUACUGUUGGUGGAACGACUGGUCAGAAAUUAUUCAAAACAAAUGGGGGCAUCUUGGUUCGUGGAGUUGUGCGUAUUAAUAUUAUUUCUCCAGGCUAUCAAACCAGGGUUGUCCGAGGAGUCAAAAUGUGCUCCAGGUUUCAAUUCAGAAAUGUACAUUUUCAAAGUGGAAAGAAAUCACUUACAAAGUGGCCGGAGUCUUGGAAAAGUGGUUUUUGAUGACUGCACCAGCCUUACCAGCUUUCUCUUUCACUCCGAGGAUUCACACUUCAAAGUAGAUGGCGACGGGACGCUGAAACUGGAGAGGGGGCUGACUCUGCAUAAUGGACAUAAGGAGUUCUAUGUCUCUACCCAGUCCAAGCGCAAGAAGAUCACGGUUCCAGUCAGAGUGCUGCAUGAGGCCAGACAUGGCCACCACCACAAUCACCAUGAGAUGACCACCCAGCCCAAGCCAGGAGCAAGUCUGUCUCUACCUGUUCUGAACUUCCCCAAGUCUUCAGGAGGUCUGAAAAGAAGGAAGAGGGACUGGGUCAUUCCUCCCAUCAACUUCCCAGAGAAUGACCGAGGCCCCUUCCCCAAGAUUAUGGUGCAGAUCAGGUCCAACAAUGAUAAAGAGGUGAAGAUCCAGUACAGCAUCACUGGCACUGGGGCAGACCUACCUCCUGUGGGAAUCUUCACUGUGGACAAAAACUCUGGGAAUCUCUAUGUGACCGAGCCCUUGGACAGGGAGAAAAAAGACAAAUACAUUCUCCUAGCCCAUGCUGUUGCAGUGGGUGCAGGUAUAGCUGAGGAUCCCAUGGAGAUCAUUGUGAAAGUCAUCGAUAUGAAUGACAACAAACCUGUAUUUACCCAAGAUCCAUUUAUGGGAACAGUUCCUGAAGCAUCAAAACCAGGUGACGAGGUCAUGCAGGUAACGGCCCCUGAUGCUGAUGAGGAGGGCUCUGCCAAUUCUGAUGUCAGAUACACCAUUCUCAGUCAGGAGCCUCCACUACCAAGCCCCAACAUGUUUGUCAUCAACUCUGUGACUGGAGGGAUUCGGGUUAAUGCACCUGGGUUGGACAGAGAGAAAAUUCCCAAAUAUACUUUGGCAAUCCAAGCUGCCGAUAUGGAGGGAAAUGGCCUUACCAGCUUUGGCAAAGCCAUCAUUACAGUAACGGACAGCAAUGACAACGCGCCACAGUUUGUGACGCCUUCGUACACCGUGUCAGUCCCAGAGAAUAAAGUGGAUGCCUUGGUGGUGAAAAUGCCAGUGACUGAUGGAGAUGAGCCUCACUCCUCUGCCUGGGCCACCACCUACAAGAUAGUUGACGGGGACCCUCAAGGCUUUUUCAAAGUGUGCACAGGCCCUAGCAAGCUGGAGGGCAUCAUUAAGACAGUAAAACCUGGAGCAAGUCUGUCUCUACCUGUUCUGAACUUCCCCAAGUCUUCAGGAGGUCUGAAAAGAAGGAAGAGGGACUGGGUCAUUCCUCCCAUCAACUUCCCAGAGAAUGACCGAGGCCCCUUCCCCAAGAUUAUGGUGCAGAUCAGGUCCAACAAUGAUAAAGAGGUGAAGAUCCAGUACAGCAUCACUGGCACUGGGGCAGACCUACCUCCUGUGGGAAUCUUCACUGUGGACAAAAACUCUGGGAAUCUCUAUGUGACCGAGCCCUUGGACAGGGAGAAAAAAGACAAAUACAUUCUCCUAGCCCAUGCUGUUGCAGUGGGUGCAGGUAUAGCUGAGGAGCCCAUGGAGAUCAUUGUGAAAGUCAUCGAUAUGAAUGACAACAAACCUGUAUUUACCCAAGAUCCAUUUAUGGGAACAGUUCCUGAAGCAUCAAAACCAGGUGACGAGGUCAUGCGGGUAACUGCCCUUGAUGCUGAUGAGGAGGGCUCUGUCAAUUCUGAUGUCAGAUACACCAUUCUCAGUCAGGAGCCUCCACUACCAAGCCCCAACAUGUUUGUCAUCAACCCUGUGACUGGAGGGAUUCGGGUUAAUGCACCUGGGUUGGACAGAGAGAAAAUUCCCAAAUAUACUUUGGCAAUCCAAGCUGUCGAUAUGGAGGGAAAUGGCCUUACCAGCUUUGGCAAAGCCAUCAUUACAGUAACGGACAGCAAUGACAAUGGAGAUGAGCCUCACUCCUCUACCUGUUCCACCACCUACAAGAUAGUUGACGGGGACCCUCAAGGCAUUUUCAGUGUGAGCACAGGCCCUAGCAAGCUGGAGGGCAUCAUUACAACAGCCAAGCCGCUUGACUUUGAGAAGAACAACAAGUACACUCUGCUGGUCACUGUGCAGAAUGAAGUCCCAUUCACAAUCAGCAUGCCCACCUCCACUGCUACUGUUGUAGUGAAUGUGGAGGAUGUGAAUGAAGCUCCAGUCUUCACCCCAGUGGAGAAGAUUAUCAGGAAACCUGAGGACCUCCCUGUUGACAGUGACCUGGUUCUGUACACAGCCACAGACCCAGACACUGCAAGGAAUCAGAAAGUCACAUACAAGAUACGCAAUGAUAAUGCUGGAUGGCUCAGUAUCAACAAAGACACUGGGCUGAUCAAAGUCAAGAGCCUCAUGGACAGAGAAUCCACUUUUGUCCAAGACAACAAAUACUCUGUUAUUGUUCUGGGCAUCGACAACGAUGAAAUUCCAGCAACUGGCACUGGCACCCUUAUCAUAGAGCUGGAGGAUGUGAAUGAUAAUGCUCCAACCAUUGACGAGAGUGUGAUCAGGGUCUGCAACAAGGAGUCCUCCCCACAGCUGCUGUCAGUCACUGAUAAAGACGGUGCGGGCUUCGCUGCUCCGUUCACCGUACAGCUUCAGGGGUCGUCCGAUUCUAGCUGGACUGCCAGAAUGAACGACACAAAGACUGGUAUUAUCCUGACUCUGAAGACUAUGUUGGACAGUGGAGAUUACACGGUUGUCCUGAGAGUGUCUGACAACCAGGGCCUGCACCAUGACAGCACCAUCCAGGCCUCCGUCUGUGACUGCAAAGGAGCGGAUGUCCAGUGCACCGAUAAAGCUGUAGCAGGCUUCGGCAUCUAGCAUUCUGGGAAUUCUAGGAGCAGUCUUACUACUCCUAUUGUUGUCUCUUCUGCUGCUCAUGUUCCUGAGGAAGAGAGGUGGUGAGAAGGAGCCUCAGGAGGACGAUGUCAUCUACUACUAUGACGAGGUGGCGAGGAUGACCCGGUGAAAGGGACUCACCAGACUAGCUCAGAACAAGCCUAUUAGGUUCUCCCUAUAAAGACUAUCCGUAAGCAUGACAUUUAUUUUACUGAAAGCUAAAUCAGCCUUAGGAUUUUUUUGUUAACUGAGAUUAAUUAACAAGCUCAAUAAUUGCUUUAAAAAUGUUUGAUAAACAUCUAAGUUUGGGUCUUUUUUAUCAUAAUCAAAUAGUUUUUUCUUGCUUGCUUCUGAAGAGUGAAUUAUGUAUAUUUUUUAAUAAAGUAUAUCCCUUUAGUACAAUGA
This is a non-coding RNA of Salmo salar (Atlantic salmon), 3536 nucleotides long. Lineage: Eukaryota; Metazoa; Chordata; Actinopteri; Salmoniformes; Salmonidae. The record is from RefSeq and is a predicted model, not a curated record.